This 512-nucleotide ribosomal RNA is filed under the name uncultured bacterium. RNAcentral describes it as "bacterial SSU rRNA". It matches the Rfam family "Bacterial small subunit ribosomal RNA", at positions 8 to 515 of the family's 1533-position model. The record is from RNAcentral.
AGAGUUUGAUCCUGGCUCAGAUUGAACGCUGGCGGCAUGCCUUACACAUGCAAGUCGAACGGCAGCACGGGAGCAAUCCUGGUGGCGAGUGGCGAACGGGUGAGUAAUAUAUCGGAACGUGCCCAGUCGUGGGGGAUAACGUAGAGAAAUUUACGCUAAUACCGCAUACGAUCUAAGGAUGAAAGCGGGGGAUCGCAAGACCUCGCGCGAUUGGAGCGGCUGAUAUCAGAUUAGGUUGUUGGUGAGGUAAAAGCUCACCAAGCCGACGAUCUGUAGCUGGUUUGAGAGAACGACCAGCCACACUGGGACUGAGACACGGCCCAGACUCCUACGGGAGGCAGCAGUGGGGAAUUUUGGACAAUGGGCGAAAGCCUGAUCCAGCAAUGCCGCGUGCAGGAAGAAGGCCUUCGGGUUGUAAACUGCUUUUGUACGGAACGAAACGGUCUGCCCUAAUACGGUGGGCUAAUGACGGUACCGUAAGAAUAAGCACCGGCUAACUACGUGCCAGCAGC